Ribosomal RNA from Pteropus vampyrus (large flying fox), 119 nucleotides. The record is from Ensembl. Lineage: Eukaryota; Metazoa; Chordata; Mammalia; Chiroptera; Pteropodidae.
GUCUACGGCCAUGCCACCCUGAGCAAGCCCGAUCCCAUCUGAUCUCAGAAGCUAAGCAGGGUCGGGUCUGGUUUGUACUUAAAUGGGAGACCACCUAGGAAGACCAAGUACUGUAGGUA